Molecule: ribosomal RNA, 932 nt
Filed under: uncultured Peniophora
Lineage: Eukaryota; Fungi; Basidiomycota; Agaricomycetes; Russulales; Lachnocladiaceae
Description: eukaryotic LSU rRNA
Rfam family: Eukaryotic large subunit ribosomal RNA (bases 550-932)
Source: RNAcentral
CAUUACCGAAGCUCGGAUGCUGGUUCGGUCUGAUGAUAAAAGGGAUGGGAUGUGCUCGUCUGGAUGCGUGUCCCUUCUCUAUUCCACCCCUUGGUCAACCCCCUGUGCGAGCCGAUGACAGAUCGAAGGCUCGCGUGCGACCCUUAACUUACCCCAAUGAAAUAUCAUAAUGUACCUUGCGUUUUCUCGCACAAAUACCUUUUUCCCGAACGGAUCUAUUGGCUCUCGCAUCGGUGAAAAACGCAGCGAAUUGCAAUAACUAAGGAGAAUUGCAAAAUUCAGUGAAUCUUCCAAUCUUUGAACGCCCCUUGCGCCCCUUGGCAUUCCGAGGGGCACGCCUGUUUGACUGUCGUGAACUCCUCCACCCUCUAACUUUUUCGGAAGGCAAUGGCCUGGGAUUUGGGAGCUUGCGGGCCCCUGGCCGAUCCGCUCUCCUGGAAUACAUUACCGAACCCCUUGCGGCCUUGGUGUGAUACUCACCUACCCCUUGGCUUCCGAACUUAUGGGAAUCGCUUCCAAGCGUCUCGCUGGAGACAAUCACUACCAACUUGACCUCAAAUCAAGCGGGACUACCCGCUGAACUUAAGCCUAUCAAUAAGCGGAGGAAAAGAAAUUAAAAAGGAUUCCCCUCGGAGUGCGAUUGAAGCGGGAUGAGCUCACUUUAAAAUCUGUCGUCUUCGGCGUCCCAGUUGUAUUUCCACAAGUGUUUUCCGCGCCCGACCGGUACGAGUCUCCUGGACCGGAGCGUCUACAUGAGAAAAACCCGUCUUUGACACGGCCCCCGGAGCUCGUGAAACUCUCCAAAGCAAUUUGUUUGGAAGCCGCUCAACGGGUGGUGAUGUCAUCUAAGCUAAUAUUGCGAGAGACCGAUAGCAACCACUACCUUGAGGAAAGUGACAGCACCUUGGAAGACAGUGACACGGUCCACCAUU